CACGUAGGCACCAAGCGUUGUCCGGAUUUAUUGGGCGUAAAGAGCUCGUAGGCGGUUUGGUAAGUCGGGUGUGAAAACUCUGGGCUCAACCCAGAGAGGCCACUCGAUACUGCUAUGACUUGAGUACGGUAGGGGAGUGGGGAAUUUCUAGUGUAGCGGUGAAAUGCGCAGAUAUUAGAAGGAACACCAGUGGCGAAGGCGCCACUCUGGGCCGUAACUGACGCUGAGGAGCGAAAGCAUGGGUAGCAAACAGG
This 254-nucleotide ribosomal RNA is filed under the name uncultured bacterium. Its description in RNAcentral is "partial 16S ribosomal RNA". It matches the Rfam family "Bacterial small subunit ribosomal RNA", at positions 524 to 776 of the family's 1533-position model. The record is from RNAcentral. RNAcentral also lists the same sequence under 1 other name.